This is a non-coding RNA of Lyophyllum atratum, 84 nucleotides long. The record is from the annotation of a GenBank genome assembly. NCBI's taxonomy places the organism in Eukaryota, Fungi, Basidiomycota, Agaricomycetes, Agaricales, Lyophyllaceae.
GGCGCUAUAGUGUAGUGGUCAUCACUCGAGAUUUUGAGGUUUCCUGACUUUCUCGAAACCCAGGUUCGAACCCUGGUAGAGCCU